Molecule: ribosomal RNA, 292 nt
Filed under: uncultured bacterium
Lineage: Bacteria
Description: partial 16S ribosomal RNA
Rfam family: Bacterial small subunit ribosomal RNA
Source: RNAcentral
GUGCCAGCAGCCGCGGUAAAACGUAGGAGGCAAGCGUUAUCCGGAGUUACUGGGCGUAAAGCGCAUGUAGGCGGUUGGGCAAGUGGCGUGUGAAAGCUCCCGGCUAAACUGGGAGACGACAGGUCAGACUGCCGAACUGGAGUCCGAUAGAGGAGCGUAGAAUUCCGGGUGUAGCGGUGAAAUGUGUAGAGAUCCGGAGGAAUACCAGUGGCGCAAGCGGCGCUCUGGGUCGGGACUGACGCUGAGAUGCGAAAGCGUGGGGAGCGAACGGGAUUAGAAACCCGCGUAGUCC